This 414-nucleotide ribosomal RNA is filed under the name uncultured bacterium. RNAcentral's name for it is "bacterial SSU rRNA". It matches the Rfam family "Bacterial small subunit ribosomal RNA", at positions 355 to 786 of the family's 1533-position model. The record is from RNAcentral.
UGGGGAAUAUUGCACAAUGGGGGAAACCCUGAUGCAGCGACGCCGCGUGAGUGAAGAAGUAUUUCGGUAUGUAAAGCUCUAUCAGCAGGGAAGAUAAUGACGGUACCUGACUAAGAAGCCCCGGCUAACUACGUGCCAGCAGCCGCGGUAAUACGUAGGGGGCAAGCGUUAUCCGGAUUUACUGGGUGUAAAGGGAGCGUAGGUGGCAAGGCAAGUCAGAUGUGAAAGCCCGGGGCUCAACCCCGGUACUGCAUUUGAAACUGUCUAGCUGGAGUGCAGGAGAGGUAAGUGGAAUUCCUAGUGUAGCGGUGAAAUGCGUAGAUAUUAGGAGGAACACCAGUGGCGAAGGCGGCUUACUGGACUGUAACUGACACUGAGGCUCAGAAGCGGUGGGAGAAAGCAGGUUAAGAUACC